GUAGGUGGCAAGCGUUGUCCGGAAUUAUUGGGCGUAAAGCGCGCGCAGGCGGUUCUUUAAGUCUGAUGUGAAAGCCCACGGCUCAACCGUGGAGGGUCAUUGGAAACUGGAGAACUUGAGUACAGAAGAGGAAAGCGGAAUUCCACGUGUAGCGGUGAAAUGCGUAGAGAUGUGGAGGAACACCAGUGGCGAAGGCGGCUUUCUGGUCUGUAACUGACGCUGAGGCGUGAAAGCGUGGGGAGCAAACAGGGAUUAGAUACCCUGGUAGUCCACGCCGUAAACGAUGAGUGCUAAGUGUUAGGGGGUUUCCCGCCCCUUAGUGCUGCAGCUAACGCAUUAAGCACUCCGCCUGGGGAGUACGGCCGCAAGGCUG
RNAcentral lists this ribosomal RNA (373 nucleotides) under uncultured organism. RNAcentral describes it as "partial 16S ribosomal RNA". It matches the Rfam family "Bacterial small subunit ribosomal RNA", at positions 527 to 896 of the family's 1533-position model. The record is from RNAcentral.